GACGAACGCUGGCGGCGUGCUUAACACAUGCAAGUCGAACGGAAAGGCCCUGCUUUUGUGGGGUGCUCGAGUGGCGAACGGGUGAGUAACACGUGAGUAACCUGCCCUUGACUUUGGGAUAACUUCAGGAAACUGGGGCUAAUACCGGAUAGGAGCUCCUGCUGCAUGGUGGGGGUUGGAAAGUUUCGGCGGUUGGGGAUGGACUCGCGGCUUAUCAGCUUGUUGGUGGGGUAGUGGCUUACCAAGGCUUUGACGGGUAGCCGGCCUGUGAGGGUGACCGGCCACAUUGGGACUGAGAUACGGACCAGACUCCUACGGGAGGCAGCAGUGGGGAAUAUUGCACAAUGGGCGGAAGCCUGAUGCAGCAACGCCGCGGGCGGGAUAACGGCCUGCGGGUUGUAAACCGCUUUCGCCUGUGACGAAGCGUGAGUGACGGUAAUGGGUAAAGAAGCACCGGCUAACUACGUG
This 468-nucleotide ribosomal RNA is filed under the name uncultured bacterium. RNAcentral describes it as "partial 16S ribosomal RNA". It matches the Rfam family "Bacterial small subunit ribosomal RNA", at positions 28 to 507 of the family's 1533-position model. The record is from RNAcentral.